This 253-nucleotide ribosomal RNA is filed under the name uncultured bacterium. RNAcentral describes it as "partial 16S ribosomal RNA". It matches the Rfam family "Bacterial small subunit ribosomal RNA", at positions 524 to 776 of the family's 1533-position model. The record is from RNAcentral.
UACGGAGGGUGCGAGCGUUGUCCGGAUUUACUGGGCGUAAAGAGCGCGCAGGCGGUCGUUCAAGUCGCGUGUGAAAGCCCCCGGCUCAACUGGGGAGGGUCACGCGAUACUGAUCGACUCGAAGGCAGGAGAGGGAAGUGGAAUUCCCGGUGUAGUGGUGAAAUGCGUAGAUAUCGGGAGGAACACCAGUGGCGAAGGCGACUUCCUGGCCUGUUCUUGACGCUGAGGCGCGAAAGCUAGGGGAGCAAACGGG